GGGAUCAUAACUCAGCGGCUAGAGUGCUUGCAUCACACGCAAGAAGUCGGGGGUUCAAAUCCCUCUGAUCCCACCA
This 76-nucleotide transfer RNA is filed under the name Candidatus Saccharimonadota bacterium. RNAcentral's name for it is "tRNA-Val". It matches the Rfam family "tRNA". From Rfam's summary of the family: Transfer RNA (tRNA) molecules are approximately 80 nucleotides in length. The record is from RNAcentral. RNAcentral also lists the same sequence under 1 other name. Lineage: Bacteria; Candidatus Saccharimonadota.